GCAGGUUUGUUCUUUUGCUCUUUGCAAUAAAUCUUGCUGCUGCUUACUCUUUGGGUCCACACUACCUUUAUGAGCUGUAACACUCACCGCAAACGUUUGCAGCUUCACUCCUGAAGCCAGCGAGACCACGAGACCACGAACCCACCAGGAGGAACAAACAACUCCGGACGUGCCACCUUAACGAGCUGUAACAAGGUCUGCGGCUUCACUCCUAAAGUCAGCGAGACCACGAACCCACCGCAAGGAAGAAACUCCGGACACAUCUGAACAUCUGAAGGAAGAAACCCCAGACACACCAUCUUUAAGAACUGUAACACUCAACCGCGAGGGUCCACGGCUUCAUUCUUGAAAGUAGAACCAAAACAUUGGCUCUUCCUGGACCUUCAACCUACCAGCUUUUGAACUGAACCUACACCAUUGGCUCUCCUGGUUCUCAUGCCUUCAAAUUCAGACUGGUGAGUAGCCCCCAUCUUAAGGUCAUCUCGGGGCCCCUCCCUGAAUCACUUCACUAGCACAAACUCAGAUGUGCUCAAAAAGGGCUCAUUAUAAAUAGGCAAAGAUACUCCUAUCAUUAGGAGAUUCUAAGGGUUUUUGGAGCUCUGUCUCAGGAACCAGGGCAAAGACUCAAUAUAUGUCUUAUAUACCACAGGGAAUAUUAACA
Molecule: long non-coding RNA, 661 nt
Filed under: Homo sapiens (human)
Lineage: Eukaryota; Metazoa; Chordata; Mammalia; Primates; Hominidae
Description: non-protein coding lnc-NXPE4-1:1
Source: RNAcentral